UGCAUAUCAUUUCUGCAUUGAUUCAUAUGUUAGGUUGCCACAAAUGCUUAGGCUUAAGACCUUGACAUUAAUUCCUUCUCCACAGCCAUUUAUAUCAGGAAAACUCAAUUGUUUGAGCACUCAUGGAAAGUAAAUGCAAGAAGUGCCCUGAUACCAUUAAAUCAAAUUUAUUGAAAAAUAUAAGAAGGACAGAGGUGCAAAGUGAAGAUAUAUGGCUGCAGAUCUGGAGUUUGGUUAGACAUGGAGAUGAGUCUUAUAGCCUGCUUGAGCUCAGGAAUUGCUUGCUUUGA
RNAcentral lists this long non-coding RNA (290 nucleotides) under Parus major (Great Tit). Its description in RNAcentral is "lncRNA (ENSPMJG00000001297.1)". Lineage: Eukaryota; Metazoa; Chordata; Aves; Passeriformes; Paridae. The record is from RNAcentral.